GACGAACGAGGGAGGCGUGCCUAAUACAUGCAAGUCGAACGCUUCUUUCCUCCCGAGUGCUUGCACUCAAUUGGAAAGAGGAGUGGCGGACGGGUGAGUAACACGUGGGUAACCUACCCAUCAGAGGGGGAUAACACUUGGAAACAGGUGCUAAUACCGCAUAACAGUUUAUGCCGCAUGGCAUAAGAGUGAAAGGCGCUUUCGGGUGUCGCUGAUGGAUGGACCCGCGGUGCAUUAGCUAGUGGGUGAGGUAACGGCUCACCAAGGCCACGAUGCAUAGCCGACCUGAGAGGGUGAUCGGCCACACUGGGACUGAGACACGGCCCAGACUCCUACGGGAGGCAGCAGUAGGGAAUCUUCGGCAAUGGACGAAAGUCUGACCGAGCAACGCCGCGUGAGUGAAGAAGGUUUUCGGAUCGUAAAACUCUGUUGUUAGAGAAGAACAAGGACGUUAGUAACUGAACGUCCCCUGACGGUAUCUAACCAGAAAGCCACGGCUAACUACGUG
RNAcentral lists this ribosomal RNA (508 nucleotides) under uncultured bacterium. Its description in RNAcentral is "partial 16S ribosomal RNA". It matches the Rfam family "Bacterial small subunit ribosomal RNA", at positions 28 to 507 of the family's 1533-position model. The record is from RNAcentral.